GGAAUUUUGGACAAUGGGCGAAAGCCUGAUCCAGCAAUGCCGCGUGCAGGAUGAAGGCCUUCGGGUUGUAAACUGCUUUUGUACGGAACGAAACGGUCUUUUCUAAUACAGAAGGCUAAUGACGGUACCGUAAGAAUAAGCACCGGCUAACUACGUGCCAGCAGCCGCGGUAAUACGUAGGGUGCAAGCGUUAAUCGGAAUUACUGGGCGUAAAGCGUGCGCAGGCGGUUAUGUAAGACAGUUGUGAAAUCCCCGGGCUCAACCUGGGAAUUGCAUCUGUGACUGCAUAGCUAGAGUACGGUAGAGGGGGAUGGAAUUCCGCGUGUAGCAGUGAAAUGCGUAGAUAUGCGGAGGAACACCGAUGGCGAAGGCAAUCCCCUGGACCUGUACUGACGCUCAUGCACGAAAGCGUGGGGAGCAAACAGGAUUAGAUACCCGGG
RNAcentral lists this ribosomal RNA (440 nucleotides) under uncultured Variovorax sp. RNAcentral describes it as "bacterial SSU rRNA". It matches the Rfam family "Bacterial small subunit ribosomal RNA", at positions 358 to 790 of the family's 1533-position model. The record is from RNAcentral. Lineage: Bacteria; Pseudomonadati; Pseudomonadota; Betaproteobacteria; Burkholderiales; Comamonadaceae.